UGUUUUUCAAGGUUUCCUUCACUCGGCGUGGCUUCAUAUCCAUUGUUUGGGUUAGAGAUAGAGAAGGAGCAAUCGUCUUUCACAGUCAGUUAUCCCCACCCGUAAUUUUUCCAAAACUCAAUAGCCAUGAAUAACGGAAAGUACAGGCUCUAUGCUGUGCGUAGGGGACGUAUUCUUGGAAUCUACACAAAUUGGGAGGACUGCAAAGAACAAGUGAAUGGCUUUCUAGAUGCAGAGUUCAAGGGAUUCCGCCUGCUGAGAGACGCCUAACAUUGGUUGGGAGUUGUUGAUCCACCAUUGACACUACCCCAACCUCCGGAGCUCGAUUCUGGAGUUCAUCCUCCGACGGGACGCUUUAAGCCACCGGUGUCUUUAACCAAACAUUUCUACAGCAUGCAUGUUGGCCCAACAUUGGGUGAAUCAUCACAGAAAGCAUUUGUUCCUUGUUCUCAGAUACCAGAAGGACCGAACAUUAUUCCGGAGAAUUCUAUGACUCAGUUUGUAGUGUUUGAAGACUUGGAGGUCUAUCUCAUUCGUGUCUGUUGCCAGCUGAGGCUUGAUUAUCCGGUCUUUAACAAUUGUGUGUUUUUCUCCGACACUGGUGAGUUGCUUCAUGGCUACUGGGUGACACUGCGAUCACAACAACGCGAUGUUAGCUGGAUCGUCGAGGGUGGGUUCUCAUCGGAUGAGCAGAUGGCAAGGCAGGACGCGUCAUUCAAAAUGUUAGGGAAGGUGCUAUCUUUCGUGGGGAAGGAAAUCCACGACUACAACUACAGGAUCGUGGAGGCCUUGAGAGUGCGGGUUGAGGAACUGGAACGGCAACAACGAAACCCCGUACACCAGCGAAUCCGGGAGCUGGAACAGGAGAACUGAAAGCUUAGGUAUGAUCUUCAGCAGUAUAACGAGUUAUUCGAGACUUGAAUGAAGGGUUCACUGUGUUUGCAAGUAUCUACAUUUACAGUGUAGCAGCUUAUUGUUAAGUCUUUGUCCUUCACUGUUGUUCAUAUUCAGUAGUUAUUCCUGUUUACGUAUGUCUGCUAUUAACGUCAACGGUGAUUCUUGUAAGUUGGUUAACUGUGAUGUUCUUGUUGGGGUUUAGGUUGCUUUCCAGUAAUUUCCAAGGAGGGUUCAUGAACUAAUUAUGCAAUUGUUCAGGUUAAUUACAUAUUUUAUGGUCGUCGGGUUUCUCAAUUAUCAUUACUCAAUCUUAAUUUAUUUAACUUAACUCUGUUAGACGUGGGCAUGCUGUACUAAUUAGUAGGGACCUACGUAUUAGUCCUCUAAUAAUGAAUUUACUUUACUAACCGAGGAAGUCGAUAGUGGAACCAACUACUACGUAACCACAAGAUUUAGUGUAAUAGCUGCCGUUGAGUUAGUUUCUUGUUUAACUUAAUAUAGUUACUUUUCGUUACAUAAAGUUGGGUAUAGUUUGCUACCAAUGCCAUAGGAUAUCAUUUACCUAUCUGAUGGGAAGGAAGGUGUUCUUUGUCCUUUCUAGUCAAACAGACGUGAAUAGGCGUGUAGAUGCAGUGGAUAAAGGUUGAAGUGUGAUUGGUUAAUGGGAUGGAGAAUCCGUAGAUUGUAUUUGAAGUUAGGGUCAGUGUUGAGUGAAUUUUCCUGUGUGCUGUAUUGUUCCAGAAGAUGCCUACAGAAAUGAUGCCCUUCGGCCCAUUAGGCCAUAAAGACAAAAAAGCCCAUGAAUAAGAUACCCAACUACGGGGUUCCCUAUGCAGUCUAUGAGAAGAAUUGGGCCACUAUUGAAGACGUUAUGUGAAUACAAUUAAACGUGGCUUCAUGUUUGAGUAGCGGCACGUGUGUCCUGUUUACGAACUGCAAUGUAAUUGGGAAUCGUCUUAAGCACACUACUAACCUAACCCACUUAACCUUCAUUCUAUUGUGCACUUGCUAGUACUGUUCAGGAUGGAGUUACACAAAGAGAAUAGCGUGGAGGAUGCGGUGAAGCGUCGACGGAGAGCAACCAAGGAUGAACCAAUGGAGCCGGUAACCACCGUGGAGGAUGCAGUCAGCGGUGUGGCUGAUCAGACACAAAAACCCUCAACCGGAAAUGACAUGAUUUUGGGGAUCCUGAAGACGCAAGCGAACCAAAUACAAGCCUUAAUCGCAGUUGUAGCACAGCACGAUCGAGUGCUGGAACUUCUCACGUCUUUGAAUGUAUCUGCUACUAGUGACAACAAACCGAUGAUGAACCUGAACCUAAACUUGCAUCCUACUGGAGGAGUGCAUCUUUACACAAACGAUGGAACACUUGAAGAGCCGGUGAAAGAGGUGACAAACGGCGGGACGCUCUCAGGUAGAACUCCGACACGCCAACAGUGUCCUCCACCAAAACCAGAGGACGUUAUCCGGGGUAUAUCAGCCCCAAUGCCUACAACGAUGGCCGGGGUCAACAAGGGAAAAUCCGGUACUCCCCAACCAGCACCACAAGUCAACUUACAGAGAAAGCUUUCCUUUAAAGAUGAAGGGAAUUCCACAAAAGACCUCAUAAGAAACAUAAGGUCUACAGGUCCUGGCUCUCCAUGGACAUUUUACACACAUAGGAGUGCGGACAUUAGGUCGGAGGAGACUCCAAAGGUACAUGAAACACUGCAUGGAAACCCUGGAUGAACAUUGUUUUCUUUGUUUAGGGUCAAGUUGCUUAGUUUUGCUCAUUCGUGUCGAAAGGAAGAAAUCUUUUCGGUCUGGAAUAUUUUUUUUUCUUUUUGUGUAGGUCCUUUGGACGAAUGUUUGCCCUCGUUACCUUUUCUUGGGUCGGCAUAUGUGGCACUUUUGAGAAUUGUAAUUUUUGGUUAACUAUGUCGCCCAACAUUUACAUGCCCAAUCUAGUGACCAUUGACGUUUAAAGGGCCACUACUACGUCUUGGGCCCUAGCUGGCUUAAGUUAGGCCCAAUAGCCUUCUCAUAGCCUGAUGGAAUGGUUUCCUUAUAAUUAUUAUUUUUUUACUACAUGAUCAACAAAUUUUUUUUUUACUAAGUACCCCAUCGUUUGCAUGCCCAGUUUGGACCUUUAAUGUUUACGGCCCACUACUUCACCUUGGGACACCCUUGGCCCUAGUAGGACCCAAUAGCCUUCUCAUACUAUGAUGGAAUGCUUUCCUUAUUAAUCAUUAUUGUAUGGAUCACUUUAUUGUUUUUUUCAUCUGGGUUGUUUUCCUCGCAAACAUUGAACUGUUAAUCUCUUCCUAUGCAAAUAAAAUAACCUUUCGGACCAUUUGGUCUACUGUUAAUGGUUUAUUCAUGUUGGAUAAUCGUAUACUAAGAAAUUUAAGAAAAAUUAUUUCCUCUACUCCAACACCUUGAUCGCGAAGUAGUGCCUGGACCUCUCAUUCUGGCCCCCGGCGGGGAUGAAGUUUGUUAGCCACGAACUCGCUAUUGCAGCCUACAUCUUUGCCAACGGCCUACAACCGAGUGAAAUCCUGGUGGAAAAUGAACAUUGCACCGGGAAUAGGGAAGCCCUUUGGACAUUACGCCCUGGAGAGGAGGUCGUUGACGACGUUAUCAACCUUGUCGUAGCAAUGGUUUCCUCAAAUAAAGCUGAGAAACAACGGUGGUGGCUACCAACCACCUUUGCGUAAAUAGCUAGGAGCCCAGGCCACCACUGCAAGGCAACACUUGAUUACAUCGUAGCAAAGUACAUGGGUUUCGCCGAUAAUCUACUGAAGAUUUAUGUUCCUUUCCACAUGCGACGUCACUGGUAUUUGAUGAUUGUUGACAUGUGGGAUGAGAAGUUGAUUUAUCUGGAUUCAUUAAAGUCUACCGUCGAGCGACAGGCUCGAAUAGAUCAAAUGAUGGAAGUGGCUCGGUUACUUGAGCUGUUGUUGACUGACACGUCUUCAUACGAGUGUAAGACGACUGUAUCGAAGUCUAUCUCAAAGUUUAGGAUCCACGAGCCACACAUUUCUCAAUAGGCUGCGGAUUCCAAUGACUGCGGAGUUUGGGUUGCAGAGUGGAUGAUCCAAUACGAUUUAUGGGCAUCGUAUGACCUUCAGGUGAUCAAUGAACACACCAGAAUGACCAUUGCUGUUGAUCUAGUUAUGGGUGAGCACAACCCAAUCUCUGAAGAAGUUCAACAAAAGGCUGUCCAAUUCUGGGACAGGAAUAUGAUUUGCUCGUACAUGAAAGGAGCUAGACCAAGAAAAAGGACCCGUAGUCCUGUGGGGCCACUAAGUCCCUAAGUUUGAUCUGGCAGAAAUUAUAAAAUUUUUUGGGUUGUUGAACGCCGUAUCGAAUGCUUUAAUGGAUCUCUGGCAGGAUGAAUUGGCCUGCGUUCGACAC
Arachis ipaensis is the source of this 4293-nucleotide non-coding RNA. The record is from RefSeq and is a predicted model, not a curated record. NCBI's taxonomy places the organism in Eukaryota, Viridiplantae, Streptophyta, Magnoliopsida, Fabales, Fabaceae.